UGGGGAAUAUUGGACAAUGGGCGAAAGCCUGAUCCAGCCAUGCCGCGUGUGUGAAGAAGGUCUUCGGAUUGUAAAGCACUUUAAGUUGGGAGGAAGGGCAGUAAGCGAAUACCUUGCUGUUUUGACGUUACCUACAGAAUAAGCACCGGCUAACUCUGUGCCAGCAGCCGCGGUAAUACAGAGGGUGCAAGCGUUAAUCGGAAUUACUGGGCGUAAAGCGCGCGUAGGUGGUUCGUUAAGUUGAAUGUGAAAGCCCCGGGCUCAACCUGGGAACUGCAUCCAAAACUGGCGAGCUAGAGUAGGGCAGAGGGUAGUGGAAUUUCCUGUGUAGCGGUGAAAUGCGUAGAUAUAGGAAGGAACACCAGUGGCGAAGGCGACCACCUGGGCUCAUACUGACACUGAGGUGCGAAAGCGUGGGGAGCAAACAGG
Molecule: ribosomal RNA, 429 nt
Filed under: Pseudomonadota bacterium
Lineage: Bacteria; Pseudomonadati; Pseudomonadota
Description: Proteobacteria bacterium partial 16S ribosomal RNA
Rfam family: Bacterial small subunit ribosomal RNA
Source: RNAcentral